Molecule: long non-coding RNA, 590 nt
Organism: Zonotrichia albicollis (white-throated sparrow)
Lineage: Eukaryota; Metazoa; Chordata; Aves; Passeriformes; Passerellidae
Source: RefSeq, a predicted model, not a curated record
CUCCUGGUUGCCUCUACGUCAAACACAGAAAGGUUAUCGCAGAGAGCAGGAGCAUGUCAGCAGCACCUUGGAGCAACUGCUGAACUCCGGCCCUGGAAUCACAGCCCAGACAGAUGAACUCCAUGGAGAACUGAGGAAGUACUCUGGAAGACAGCAGUGGGGAAAGCAGUUCACAAGCAGUAUUUUUACAAGAGAGAAAACUUUUCCAUGGCGUAAGUGUUGGUUGAUUACUGCUUUCUUAAGUGCUUCUAGCACUGGGCAAAAAAUCCUACAAAGUGUAAUGAUGUUUCAAAUGACUGCAUACUGACCCAAAAGGGCUUCAGUUACUGGAUGACUACUUUUAUUUCCCUUCAGAGGCAAUUCCUGGCUGGCUCAGUGCCCCAUCUACACACCCUUCCCUUCACUUCAUGCCUCUCCCAUGCAGGCAAGACCUGCUGCAUUGAUUUAAAUAAUGAAAAUGAUAUCUCUUGAAGGAAGAAUCUUCUCAGAAAUUACAAUUCAGCUUCUUCUUCCUGUGAAGCUUGUUACAUGAAUAAUGCAUUUCAUAAAAAAAUACACAAGAUAUUAAAUGAAUCUUCAAGAGAGGCUGA